GAUGAACGCUAGCGGCAGGCCUAACACAUGCAAGUCGAGGGGUAGCAGGAUUAAGCUUGCUUAAUUGCUGACGACCGGCGCACGGGUGCGUAACGCGUAUGCAACCUACCUUAUACUGGGGUAUAGCCCGGAGAAAUUCGGAUUAAUCCCCCAUAGUACUAAUGAAUCGCAUGGUUUAUUAGUUAAAGCAUUGCGGUAUAAGAUGGGCAUGCGUCCUAGUAGCUAGAUGGUGAGGUAACGGCUCACCAUGGCUACGAUAGGUAGGGGGCCUGAGAGGGUGGUCCCCCACGCUGGUACGGAGGCACGGACCAGACUCCUACGGGAGGCAGCAGUGAGUAAUAUUGGUCAAUGGGCGCAAGCCUGAACCAGCCAUGCCGCGUGCAGGAAGAAUGCCCUAUGGGUUGUAAACUGCUUUUAUUUGGGAAUAAACCUCUUUACGUGUAGAGAGCUGAAGGUACCAAAUGAAUAAGCACCGGCUAACUCCGUGCCAGCAGCCGCCGUAA
Molecule: ribosomal RNA, 503 nt
Filed under: uncultured bacterium
Lineage: Bacteria
Description: partial 16S ribosomal RNA
Rfam family: Bacterial small subunit ribosomal RNA
Source: RNAcentral